GUACACUCCUGCGGGAGGCAGCAGUGGGGAAUAUUGCACAAUGGGCGCAAGCCUGAUGCAGCCAUGCCGCGUGUAUGAAGAAGGCCUUCGGGUUGUAAAGUACUUUCAGCGGGGAGGAAGGCAAUACGGUUAAUAACCGUGUUGAUUGACGUUACCCGCAGAAGAAGCACCGGCUAACUCCGUGCCAGCAGCCGCGGUAAUACGGAGGGUGCAAGCGUUAAUCGGAAUUACUGGGCGUAAAGCGCACGCAGGCGGUCUGUCAAGUCGGAUGUGAAAUCCCCGGGCUCAACCUGGGAACUGCAUUCGAAACUGGCAGGCUUGAGUCUUGUAGAGGGGGGUAGAAUUCCAGGUGUAGCGGUGAAAUGCGUAGAGAUCUGGAGGAAUACCGGUGGCGAAGGCGGCCCCCUGGACAAAGACUGACGCUCAGGUGCGAAAGCGUGGGGAGCAAACAGGAUUAGAUACCCGGGUAGUCCCAUG
RNAcentral lists this ribosomal RNA (477 nucleotides) under uncultured organism. RNAcentral's name for it is "partial 16S ribosomal RNA". It matches the Rfam family "Bacterial small subunit ribosomal RNA", at positions 331 to 799 of the family's 1533-position model. The record is from RNAcentral.